Molecule: non-coding RNA, 2882 nt
Organism: Gossypium arboreum
Lineage: Eukaryota; Viridiplantae; Streptophyta; Magnoliopsida; Malvales; Malvaceae
Source: Rfam
GUUCAAAUGAGGAAAGGCUUAUGGUGGAUAGCUAGGCACACAAAGACAAGAAAAGGCAUAGUAAGCAGUGAAUGCUUCCAAUAGUUGAAAAUAAGCAUAGAUUUGGAGAUUCUCGAAUAGGUUAACCUUUCAAACUAUUGUUGAAUCCAUGGGCAGACAAGAGACAACCUAGCGAACUUAAACAUCUUAGUAGCUGGAGGAAAAGAAAGCAAAAUUGAUUUUCAUAGUAGCGGUGAGCGAAAUUAGAGUAGCCUAAAUCAUGAAAAUAGGGUUGUAGGAAAGCAAUAAAAGUGUCGUUCUUCUAGGCAAAGUGGUGAAGUGUCAAACCCUAGAUGAUGAUAGUCCAGUAGCUGAAAGCAUCACUAGCUUACGCUUUAACCCGAGUAGCAUGGGGCACGUGGAAUCCCAUAUGAAUCAGUAAGGACCACCUUGCAAGGCUAAAUACUCUUGGGUGACCGAUAGUGAAGUAGUACCGUAGGGGAAUGGUGAAAAGAACCUCCGUCAGGGAGUGAAAUAGAACAUGAAACCAUAAGCUCCCAAGUAGUAGGAGGAUCCUAGGCCUCUAACCGCGUGCUUGUUGAAGAAUGAGUCGGCAAAUCAUAGGCAGUGGCUUGGUUAAAGGAACCCACCAGAGCCGUAGCAAGAGCGAGUGUUCAUAGGGCAAUUGUCACUACUUAUGGACCUGAACCUGGGUGAUCUAUAUGACUAGGAUGAAGCUUGGGUGAAACUAAGUAGAGGUCUGAACCGACUGAUGUUGAAGAAUCAGCAGAUGAGUUAUGGUUAUGGGUGAAAUGCCAGUCGAACCCAAAGCUAGCUAGUUCUCCCUAAAAUGUGUUGAAGCCCAGCAGUUGACUAGAAAUCUAGGGGUAAAGCACAGUUUCUGUGCGGGCUGUGAAAGCGGUACCAAAUUGAGGCAAACUCUGAAUACUAGAGAUGACCUCAAAAUAACAUGGGUCAAGGUUGGCCUGUCACACCCCUUACCCGUAUCCGAAGCUGGAACAGGGUACGAGGCAUUAUAGGACUUAAACAUAAGCAAAUAUAAAUUAACGAGCUUACGAAGCCUAAAACAUGCAUUGGAAGUGGUUUGAGACUAAACCGAGAACUUUAGAAAUUUUUACAGCACUUAGAAAUUUUUUGCUAAAAUAGGGGUCACAUGCUUGUGUGGCUUGGGACACACUAGUGUAGGCAGGCCGUGUGGUGAUACACGCCCGUGUCCCUAACCCGUGUAACUCUCUGUUUGUCACUUAAGAAUAAAUUAAAGUCACACGACCAAGACACAUGCCCGUGUCCCAAGGUCAUGUCCUUCACAUAGCUGAGACACACACUCGUGUCUCUGUCUGUGUGCUUGAUACCGAGCAUUCUAUUUUGUAACAAUUAAGGUGCAGAGGAGACACGGUCGAAUCACACGCCCGUGGGGCUAACCGUGUGUCACACAUAGCUUAGACACACGCCGAUGUGUCUACCUGUGUGGACAAAACAAUACUUUUUACCAAGCCAUUUUGUCACCCUCACUUGCACAUAUCUACUCAAAAUCAUAUGCCAAAAAUUCAAGCAUGAAGAGCAACCAAAUAAUCACAACCAAGACAAUAACAUGUCAUUCUCAUACCAUUUUUAAACAUCCUUAAAACAUCAACUUUUCCACAUCAAGUUAUGCAAGUUUCCACAUUCACAAAUGACAUUAAUAUAAUUAUACUCAUAACCAACAUUAGCCAACUUCCAACGCUAUAUACAAAAUGAACUAUGAACCAUUCACAAUUAUGACCAUCACAUAUGAGUACCAUAUCAACAUCUAUCAUACACACAACAUUUAUCAUGCCAUAAAUCAUUCAUGUCAAUUUCACCUUCAUUAGGCUUCAUUUAACUACUUUUAGUUACCUUAUUGUACACACGAAUUUAUCAUCUCAUCAAUAGACCACAUUACCAAACAUUUCACAUUCAUGCCAUAAAUCACAUUUCCAAACAAUUCACACUCACCAUGCAUACCAUGAUCAUAUCACCAAAGGCAUUGACAUAUAUAUGAAUAUACUUAGGUUUACAACCAUGUUAGCCAAACAAGCCAAUUUACAUCGCCAAAUAUCAAAACAAGCCUUUAAUCCUUACAAGCCAAUACAUUAGCUAAAAUCAUAUGACACAUAUGACAAAAUAACCAAGUCCCUAUACAUGCCAUAACUCAAAAUAUUUGAAUUCAUCAAUACCCAAAGUGAUAGCUUGAUGUGUGAUAGGAUCUCCGCUGGUCUCCAACUUGAGCUAGCUUGACGACACUAUAAGAUAAGGGAAAGGAAGGGGGUAAGAUAUAUAGCUUAGUAAGUCCGUAUAGAAAUAAUAUGCAACUCUUAUUAAGAAUUUAUUAAGUUCAACAAUUUAAAAACAAGAUAGUACUAAUAGCUAUAAAUUUCAUAGUUAUAAUUUUAUUCAGUCACAAUGUCUACUCUAUUAACUCAUAAGCAUAAUUUAACAUAACUUGCCAUUAGCCUAACAAUCGUAAUGUAACACCCCGUACCUGAGACCGUUUCCGGAGUUGAACACGAGGUGCUAACAGACUUAAUUCAUUUAUUUUCACAGUCCAUUUUAAAAAUUUCUAGACAACUGGCUAACUGCAUCACUGUCACCUUAAAAAUCAUAUCUUGAGUUCCAAAACUCGAAAACCAAUUUUGUAAAUUUUACCUGAAACUAGACUCAAAUAUCCAUCUACAAAAUUUUUUGUCUAGCCAAUUAGUACAUUUUAUUAGUUAAAGUCUCCCCUGUUUCAGGGUUCGACUACUCUGACCUUCACGUAUUACGACUUAGAUAUCUCCUCGUACAGGGCUUAAAUACUUAUGCCGUUUGUUUCUAAAGAAACUAGACUCGAAAAGGAAUCUGUACAUAUAGGGCAUGACUUCUAA